UGAAUACGAGACGCUACGGCGUCGAAGCAGUCUAUGUCAUACUUCCAAGAAAAGCUUGCACUGUCAUAAACAAAUAAUGCCUGUACCAUAACCGACACAGGUGGGUAGGUAGAGUAUACUAAGGGGCGCGAGAUAACUCUCUCUAAGGAACUCGGCAAAAUGACUCCGUAACUUCGGGAGAAGGAGUGCCUUAUUUAUAAGGUUGCAAUAACAAGAUCCAAGCAACUGUUUAUCAAAAACACAGGUCUCCGCUAAGUCGUAAGACGAUGUAUGGGGGCUGACGCCUGCCCAGUGCCAGAAGGUUAAAGAAGUUGGUUAGCAUUAGCGAAGCUGAUAACUGAAGCCCUGGUGAACGGCGGCCGUAACAAUAACGGUCCUAAGGUAGUGAAAUUCCUUGUCGGGUAAGUUCCGACCCGCACGAAAGGCGUAAUGAUUUGGAUACUGUCUCAGAGAGGGGCUCGGUGAAAUAGACUUGUCUGUGAAGAUGCGGACUACCUCACCAGGACAGAAAGACCCUAUGAAGCUUUACUGUAACUUGAAAUUGAAAUUGGACUUUAUUUGCGCAGUAUAGGUGGGAGGCAUUGAUAAUAUUCUUGCGGGAAUGUUGGAGCCAUCAGUGAGAUACCACUCUUGUAAUGUUAGAUUUCUAACUUUGGAUCAUUAUCUGGUCAAAGGACAGUUUCAGGCGGGCAGUUUGACUGGGGCGGUCGCCUCCUAAAUGGUAACGGAGGCGCACAAAGGUUUCCUCUGAACGGGUAGAAAUCGUAUCUAGAGUGUAAAGGCAUAAGGAAGCUUGACUGUGAGACCUACAAGUCGAGCAGGGACGAAAGUCGGUCUUAGUGAUCUGACGGUGCUGAGUGGAAAGGCCGUCACCCAACGGAUAAAAGUUACUCUAAGGAUAACAGGCUGAUCUCCCCCAAGAGUUCACAUCGACGGGGAGGUUUGGCACCUCGAUGUCGGCUCAUCGCAUCCUGGGGCGGUAGUACGUCCCAAGGGUUGGGCUGUUCGCCCAUGAAAGCGGUACGCGAGCUGGGUUCAGAACGUCGUGAGACAGUUCGGUCCAUAUCCGGUGUAGGCGUUAGAAUAUUGAGAGGAGCCUUCUUUAGUACGAGAGGACCGAGAAGGACAUACCUCUGGUGUACCAGUUAUCGUGCCAACGGUAAACGCUGGGUAGCUAUGUAUGGAGAGGAUAACCGCUGAAAGCAUCUAAGUGGGAAGCCCACCUCAAGAUAAGUAUUCUC
This 1241-nucleotide ribosomal RNA is filed under the name metagenome. Its description in RNAcentral is "bacterial LSU rRNA". It matches the Rfam family "Bacterial large subunit ribosomal RNA", at positions 1564 to 2815 of the family's 2925-position model. The record is from RNAcentral.